Molecule: ribosomal RNA, 846 nt
Filed under: uncultured bacterium
Lineage: Bacteria
Description: bacterial SSU rRNA
Rfam family: Bacterial small subunit ribosomal RNA
Source: RNAcentral
AUGCAAGUCGCACGGACGUAGCAAUACGUUAGUGGCGAACGGGUGAGUAAUGAAUCGCUAAUGUACCCCGGACUCUGGGAUAGCCGGCCGAAAGGUCGGGUAAUACCAGAUGAUAUAACUUUGUCGCAUGACAGAGUUCUCAAAGGUCCGCCGGUCUGGGAGCAGGCGAUUUCGUAUCAGCUAGUUGGUGAGGUAACGGCUCACCAAGGCGACGACGCGUAGCCGGACUGAGAGGUUGGCCGGCCACAUUGGGACUGAGACACUGCCCAGACUCCUACGGGGGGCUGCAGUAACGAAUCUUCCGCAAUGUACGAAAGUAUGACGGAGCGACGCCGCGUGUAGGACGAAGCCCUUCGGGGUGUAAACUACUGUCAGGGGUUAGGAAGUUCUGAUCAACCCCAGAGGAAGGCACGGCUAACUCUGUGCCAGCAGCCGCGGUAAGACAGAGGUGCCAAGCGUUAGGCGGAAUCACUGGGCUUAAAGCGUGUGUAGGUGGAUUUGUAAGUACCUUGUGAAAUCCCAUGGCUCAACCAUGGAACUGCUCGGUAUACUGCGAAUCUUGAGCCACUUAGGGGCUACCGGAACAAAUGGUGGAGCGGUGAAAUGCGUAGAUAUCAUUUGGAACGCCAAUGGUGAAAACAGGUAGCUGGGAGUGUGCUGACACUGAGACACGAAAGCCAGGGGAGCGAACGGGAUUAGAUACCCCGGUAGUCCUGGCCGUAAACGAUGUCCACUAGAUCGUGGUGGCUCUGACGCCAUCAUGGUCGAAGCAAAAGUGCUAAGUGGACCGCCUGGGAAGUACGGUCGCAAGGCUAAAACUCAAAGGAAUUGACGGGGGCUCACACA